AAAAACGACUCUCGGCAACGGAUAUCUCGGCUCACGCAUCGAUGAAGAACGUAGCAAAAUGCGAUACUUGGUGUGAAUUGCAGAAUCCCGUGAACCAUCGAGUUUUUGAACGCAAGUUGCGCCCGAAGCCAUCCGGUUGAGGGCACGUCUGCCUGGGCGUCACGC
RNAcentral lists this ribosomal RNA (165 nucleotides) under Schkuhria schkuhrioides. Its description in RNAcentral is "5.8S subunit". It matches the Rfam family "5.8S ribosomal RNA". Rfam says of the family: 5.8S ribosomal RNA (5.8S rRNA) is a component of the large subunit of the eukaryotic ribosome. It is transcribed by RNA polymerase I as part of the 45S precursor that also contains 18S and 28S rRNA. The record is from RNAcentral. Lineage: Eukaryota; Viridiplantae; Streptophyta; Magnoliopsida; Asterales; Asteraceae.